Molecule: ribosomal RNA, 547 nt
Filed under: uncultured Glomus
Lineage: Eukaryota; Fungi; Glomeromycota; Glomeromycetes; Glomerales; Glomeraceae
Description: SSU rRNA
Rfam family: Eukaryotic small subunit ribosomal RNA
Source: RNAcentral
UUGGAGGGCAAGUCUGGUGCCAGCAGCCGCGGUAAUUCCAGCUCCAAUAGCGUAUAUUAAAGUUGCUGCAGUUAAAAAGCUCGUAGUUGAAUUUCGGGAUCAAUAUGUCGGUCGUGCUUCAGUACGUACUGGCUUAUUGGUUUCUCCUUUCUGAAGAACCAUGAUGUCAUUUAUUUGGUGUCGUGGGAAAUCAGGACUGUUACUUUGAAAAAAUUAGAGUGUUUAAAGCAGGCUCACGCUUGAAUACAUUAGCAUGGAAUAAUGAAAUAGGACGUUUGAUUCUAUUUUGCUGGUUUCUAGGAUCGACGUAAUGAUUAAUAGGGAUAGUUGGGGGCAUUAGUAUUCAAUUGUCAGAGGUGAAAUUCUUGGAUUUAUUGAAGACUAACUACUGCGAAAGCAUUUGCCAAGGAUGUUUUCAUUAAUCAAGAACGAAAGUUAGGGGAUCGAAGACGAUCAGAUACCGUCGUAGUCUUAACCAUAAACUAUGCCGACUAGGGAUCGGAUGAUGUUAAUUUUUUAAUGACUCAUUCGGCGCCUUACGGGAAAC